UCAGAAAGGCAGUGUGGGAAGAGAGUACCAAAGUCCAGGUGAUGCAGAGGUGAUCCAGCUACUGGCUAGAUCCCUGGUGCCACCCAUCUUCCCAGCAUAUAAGUACUGCAGACUGGCCACAGUGCAGCAGAGUGGGCAGAAAGGAAGCCCUGCAGAGGAUCACACACACAGCUGGAGGCAGAACACAGAGGAAUAAAUUGCUGAGAGACAAGCAGGGAUGGACCUGUUUUCAGCUCUCUCACUAGAAACCUGCGUCCUCCUGGCAAUCAGCCUGGUGCUCCUCUACUGGUAUGGGACCCAUACACAUGGACAUUUUAAGAAACAGGGAAUUCCUGGGCCCACACCUCUGCCUUUUUUAGGCACUUUGCUUAAUUACUACAAGGGUUUAUGGAAAUUUGACAUGGAGUGCUCC
This is a long non-coding RNA of Grammomys surdaster, 412 nucleotides long. RefSeq lists it as uncharacterized. The record is from RefSeq and is a predicted model, not a curated record. Lineage: Eukaryota; Metazoa; Chordata; Mammalia; Rodentia; Muridae. The transcript is spliced from 4 exons.